This 397-nucleotide ribosomal RNA is filed under the name uncultured bacterium. RNAcentral describes it as "bacterial SSU rRNA". It matches the Rfam family "Bacterial small subunit ribosomal RNA", at positions 28 to 430 of the family's 1533-position model. The record is from RNAcentral.
GACGAACGCUGGCGGCGUGCUUAACACAUGCAAGUCGAGCGGUAAGGCCCUUUCGGGGGUACACGAGCGGCGAACGGGUGAGUAACACGUGGGUGACCUGCCCUCAGCUCUGGGAUAAGCCUGGGAAACCGGGUCUAAUACUGGAUAUGACUCCAUGACGCAUGUUGUGGGGUGGAAAGCCUUGUGCGGCUGAGGAUGGGCCCGCGGCCUAUCAGCUUGUUGGUGGGGUGAGGCCUACCAAGGCGACGACGGGUAGCCGGCCUGAGAGGGCGACCGGCCACACUGGGACUGAGACACGGCCCAGACUCCUACGGGAGGCAGCAGUGGGGAAUCUUGCGCAGUGGGCGAAAGCCUGACGCAGCGACGCCGCGUGAGGGAUGACGGCCUGGUUGUAACC